This 110-nucleotide non-coding RNA is filed under the name human gut metagenome. Its description in RNAcentral is "FMN riboswitch (RFN element)". It matches the Rfam family "FMN riboswitch aptamer (RFN element)". Rfam says of the family: The RFN element is a highly conserved domain that is found frequently in the 5'-untranslated regions of prokaryotic mRNAs that encode for flavin mononucleotide (FMN) biosynthesis and transport proteins. The record is from RNAcentral.
AUCUUCAGGGCAGGGUGAGAUUCCCGACCGGCGGUAAAGUCCGCGAGCGCCUAAGCGCAUGAUUUGGUGAAAUUCCAAAACCGACAGUAAAGUCUGGAUGAGAGAAGAGA